CCGAAGCUCCGGGAAGCCACCGAGUAGCACUACACUGCUCAUGUCCGCAGGGGCUCGGGUUGAAGGGGCUGGUACGGCAGAGGGCGUGGGCAGGAGCGGCGCGGACCCCGCAGACCGCAGCCUCAUGGGAGUCACAAGAGAAGCGCAGGCAGCCCCACCCGGUCCCAUGCGCGGGGCAGAGGAGGAAGAACAAUAAUCCGGAGGUCUCAAGUGGAGAUCCCCUGAAACUGAAGUUAUUAAUGGCUGUGAACCAUGAUGUGCAUUCUGGGAAGUGAGCCCAGGUCCUCUGCAAGAACAACAAAUGCUCUUAACCACUGAGCCACCUCUCUACUCUCUAGAAUUGUUCUUUGUUUGUUUUAAAAAUUGUACAUGUAGUAUGUAAUAGCCCAAGAACAAAAUUUUGAUCAUACAAAGUUUGAAGUUCUGACUGGCUUCUUUCAUCCUUUUUACACUUGUUCCUGUCUGUGAGAACAACUGGCUACUUUGAAGCCUGACCUAGAUUACCAAGCGUACACAUCUUAUAGCGGUGCACAUUGGAGGUAGCUCCCGGGGACUGGAGUGUUGUGGGAAAUUAUUUUAAGAUGUGUUACAUUUGUUUAUGCUGUGGAACAUUUGUUUUAAUGAUGCAAAGAUGUGUUGCAUUCUUUUAUGUUGCAUUCGUUGUGAAGCUGUGUUAAUUUGCCUGUCUAAAAACCCGAUGGUCUAAUAAAGAGCUCAACAGCCAGUAGCAAGGUAGGAGAGAGGAUAGGUGGGGCUGCCAGGCAGAUCUAAUAAAUAGGAG
RNAcentral lists this long non-coding RNA (781 nucleotides) under Cricetulus griseus (Chinese hamster). RNAcentral's name for it is "lncRNA (ENSCGRG00015035902.1)". The record is from RNAcentral. Lineage: Eukaryota; Metazoa; Chordata; Mammalia; Rodentia; Cricetidae.